Molecule: ribosomal RNA, 382 nt
Filed under: uncultured bacterium
Lineage: Bacteria
Description: bacterial SSU rRNA
Rfam family: Bacterial small subunit ribosomal RNA
Source: RNAcentral
GACGAACGCUGGCGGCGUGCUUAACACAUGCAAGUCGAGCGGUAAGGCCCUUCGGGUACACGAGCGGCGAACGGGUGAGUAACACGUGGGUGACCUGCCCUUAGCUCUGGGAUAAGCCUGGGAAACUGGGUCUAAUACCGGAUAUGACCUCAUGACGCAUGUUGUGGGGUGAAAGCCUUGUGCGGCUAGGGAUGGGCCCGCGGCCUAUCAGCUUGUUGGUGGGGUGAUGGCCACCAAGGCGACGACGGUAGCCGGCCUGAGAGGGCGACCGGCCACACUGGGACUGAGACACGGCCCAGACUCCUACGGGAGGCAGCAGUGGGGAAUCUUGCGCAAUGGGCGAAAGCCUGACGCAGCGACGCCGCGUGAGGGAUGACGGCCU